RNAcentral lists this ribosomal RNA (254 nucleotides) under uncultured bacterium. RNAcentral's name for it is "partial 16S ribosomal RNA". It matches the Rfam family "Bacterial small subunit ribosomal RNA", at positions 524 to 776 of the family's 1533-position model. The record is from RNAcentral.
UACGUAGGGUGCGAGCGUUGUCCGGAAUUAUUGGGCGUAAAGAGCUUGUAGGCGGUCUGUCGCGUCUGCUGUGAAAAUCCGGGGCUCAACCCCGGACUUGCAGUGGGUACGGGCAGACUAGAGUGUGGUAGGGGAGACUGGAAUUCCUGGUGUAGCGGUGAAAUGCGCAGAUAUCAGGAGGAACACCGAUGGCGAAGGCAGGUCUCUGGGCCACUACUGACGCUGAGAAGCGAAAGCAUGGGGGAGCGAAUAGG